Perognathus longimembris pacificus (Pacific pocket mouse) is the source of this 865-nucleotide long non-coding RNA. RefSeq lists it as uncharacterized. NCBI's taxonomy places the organism in Eukaryota, Metazoa, Chordata, Mammalia, Rodentia, Heteromyidae. The record is from RefSeq and is a predicted model, not a curated record. The transcript is spliced from 3 exons.
UUCGAAUCUCUAUCCUCCGAUCUCAGCCUCCUGAGUAGUUAGGAUUAUAGGUGUGAGCCACCAGCAGCUGGCUGCACAUCCUUUUUAAGUUUUGUAUUGAAUUGUAUAGUUAGAGCCACAUUUCUGGCCUGCAGGGGCCUCUGAAGGGUUCUCAGAACUGGUUAGCUGUAGUUAGAUCUUGAUUGUUUUCUUAUGCUGGGGAUGGAACCCAAGGUUUCCCCUCUUGCUCGGCAAGUUACUCUUGGUGCUGCUGACUUGCAUGCAGCCACUCUUGUCAUGAACAGGUGCCAUUCAGUGCCAUAUCCAUGCCUUGUGGGGCUUCUAGGAGUGGUGCAGCUACAAGUAGAUUUGGCCUUUUGGGAAAUGUUAAAUGUGUGCCAAAGAAGACAGGAAAGGGCAACAGACUCCUGCCACUUGCCGCUGGCACAGGCAACCAAGGGAUGGAGUUUGAGGUGGUCAUACAGGGCAGGCCUGGGACACGCAGUGCAGGGGGUGGGGCAGCCUCAGACAUUUAGGGAAGGAGCCUUCUGUCUAGAUGGCUGGAGACGUGGUGAGGAGAAAAGUUAGCCUGCAGCUGUCACCAUAGUCUGUGAUCACAAUAGUGACUCAGGAGGGCUGGUUCUACAUGUGUAUUCACGUUGCAUCCUUAAGCAACUCUGAGGCAUGGAUUUAGUCUCUUUAUGUUUGAGGAAACUGCGGCCCAGAGACCUUAAAUUCCCUCAGAGCUCUGGCAGAGCUGGGACUCUAUCCCAGGAUUUGGCCUCUUGCAUGUGAUACUUUGGCACUCCUGAGACUGGAGGGAGCCUUGAUCAUUAGGUGUGGUGGCUGUGCUAUAGACAGUGGCCCAUCUCAGAGGCAGCAGCAG